Molecule: ribosomal RNA, 469 nt
Filed under: uncultured bacterium
Lineage: Bacteria
Description: bacterial SSU rRNA
Rfam family: Bacterial small subunit ribosomal RNA
Source: RNAcentral
CUACCACAUGCAAGUCGAACGGCAGCGGGGGAUAGCUUGCUAUCCUGCCGGCGAGUGGCGGACGGGUGAGUAAUGCAUGGGGAGCUGCCCAAUCGAGGGGGAUAACAACUGGAAACGGUUGCUAAUACCGCAUACCCCCUGCGGGGGAAAGGUGGGGACCUUCGGGCCUACCGCGAUUGGAUGCACCCAUGUGGGAUUAGCUAGUUGGUGAGGUAACGGCUCACCAAGGCGACAAUCUCUAGCUGGUCUGAGAGGAUGACCAGCCACACUGGAACUGAAACACGGUCCAAACUCCUACGGGAGGCAGCAGUGGGGAAUAUUGCACAAUGGGGGAAACCCUGAUGCACCCAUGCCGCGUGUGUGAAGAAGGCCUUCGGGUUGUAAAGCACUUUCAGUGGGGAGGAAGGGCUGAUGACUAAUAUUCAUCAGCAUUGACGUUACCCACAAAAAAAGCACCGGCUAACUCCGU